This 367-nucleotide ribosomal RNA is filed under the name uncultured organism. Its description in RNAcentral is "bacterial LSU rRNA". It matches the Rfam family "Bacterial large subunit ribosomal RNA", at positions 2099 to 2465 of the family's 2925-position model. The record is from RNAcentral.
CUUUACUGUAGCUUUGUAUGGGACUUUGAAUAGACUUGUGUAGGAUAGGUGGGAGGCUUUGAAGAGCGGAUGCUAGUUCGCUUGGAGCCAACGUUGAAAUACCACCCUGGUGUGUUUGAGGUUCUAACCUAGAUCCAUUAUCUGGAUCGGGGACAGUGCAUGGUAGGCAGUUUGACUGGGGCGGCCUCCUCCCAAAGUGUAACGGAGGAGUUCGAAGGUACGCUAGUUACGGUCGGACAUCGUGACGAUAGUGCAAUGGCAUAAGCGUGCUUAACUGCGAGACUGACAAGUCAAGCAGAUGCGAAAGCAGGACAUAGUGAUCCGGUGGUUCUGUAUGGAAGGGCCAUCGCUCAACGGAUAAAAGGUA